Non-coding RNA from Caenorhabditis elegans, 219 nucleotides. Lineage: Eukaryota; Metazoa; Nematoda; Chromadorea; Rhabditida; Rhabditidae. The record is from Ensembl.
UUAAAUCAGAGAAUAUACAGGGCUAACUUAACCAAAAACUUCUUCAUUUUUCUUCCGUCACUAUUCCAUCUAGUGGUCACCGACGGACGAUGACGACGGCGUAUAACAACCUCAAGGACAUUUCAGGUUAUCGACACCACCUCCCAGCGCGUCGCCGACCCCCGCGCACACGGUAAGGAGCGACACCAACAGCACUACUAGUAGCAAAAAAAAGAGAAU